GGGCCCGUAGCACAACGGGCGAGUGCAAGCGGCUCUUAACCGCGAGGUUGCAGGUUCGAGUCCUGCCGGGCCCA
RNAcentral lists this transfer RNA (74 nucleotides) under Chloroflexota bacterium. RNAcentral's name for it is "Chloroflexi bacterium tRNA-Lys". It matches the Rfam family "tRNA". Rfam says of the family: Transfer RNA (tRNA) molecules are approximately 80 nucleotides in length. Their secondary structure includes four short double-helical elements and three loops (D, anti-codon, and T loops). Further hydrogen bonds mediate the characteristic L-shaped molecular structure. tRNAs have two regions of fundamental functional importance: the anti-codon, which is responsible for specific mRNA codon recognition, and the 3' end, to which the tRNAs corresponding amino acid is attached (by aminoacyl-tRNA synthetases). tRNAs cope with the degeneracy of the genetic code in two manners: having more than one tRNA (with a specific anti-codon) for a particular amino acid; and 'wobble' base-pairing, i.e. permitting non-standard base-pairing at the 3rd anti-codon position. The record is from RNAcentral. Lineage: Bacteria; Bacillati; Chloroflexota.